Molecule: non-coding RNA, 97 nt
Organism: Mycena galericulata
Lineage: Eukaryota; Fungi; Basidiomycota; Agaricomycetes; Agaricales; Mycenaceae
Source: the annotation of a GenBank genome assembly
UCGGAUGUGGUGUACGGGGCACGCCUGCGGUGGAUAAAAGUCCACGCUUCGUCUUAUCUUCAAGCAGAAAGCCCGGGUUCGACUCCCGGCGUCCGAA